RNAcentral lists this long non-coding RNA (287 nucleotides) under Manihot esculenta (cassava). Its description in RNAcentral is "long non-coding RNA (MESC_LNC006770)". The record is from RNAcentral. Lineage: Eukaryota; Viridiplantae; Streptophyta; Magnoliopsida; Malpighiales; Euphorbiaceae.
AACCUACCCUUCCUAGUUCUGCCCCAUUGCUUCGGGGUUCUUCUCCCCCUUCUACCUCUCUUGGCGGCUGUACUCAGCAUGGAGGGAUCAACUCCCCCUGAACUUGAACUCUCAGAAUCCUUAGACUUUUCCACAUUUUCUUCAUCCAUAUCCACUUGCAGACCUACAUCCCUCCUCUGCACCUCCAUCUUCUCUUCUCUGCUGGCAUCAACAGACCUUCCAGGGUCUCUUGAUGUUUCCCCACUGCCAACUAUACCUGACUGUACUCCUGGCAGAACGGGAGGAAA